RNAcentral lists this microRNA precursor (63 nucleotides) under Bombyx mori (domestic silkworm). RNAcentral describes it as "mir-2774 microRNA precursor family". It matches the Rfam family "mir-2774 microRNA precursor family". Lineage: Eukaryota; Metazoa; Arthropoda; Insecta; Lepidoptera; Bombycidae. The record is from Rfam by way of RNAcentral.
AAAACUUAGACCGUCGGUCUACCGAGCAAUAUCACCCGCUCGGCGAAAGAUCUUCCCGGUGGA